CUGAAGGAGGAGCUUGCUUCUCUGGAUGAGUUGCGAACGGGUGAGUAACGCGUAGGUAACCUGCCUGGUAGCGGGGGAUAACAAUUGGAAACGAUAGCUAACACCGCAUAAGAGUAGAUGUUGCAUGACAUUUGCUUAAAAGGUGCAAUUGCAUCACUACCAGAUGGACCUGCGUUGUAUUAGCUAGUUGGUGGGGUAACGGCUCACCAAGGCGACGAUACAUAGCCGACCUGAGAGGGUGAUCGGCCACACUGGGACUGAGACACGGCCCAGACUCCUACGGGAGGCAGCAGUAGGGAAUCUUCGGCAAUGGACGGAAGUCUGACCGAGCAACGCCGCGUGAGUGAAGAAGGUUUUCGGAUCGUAAAGCUCUGUUGUAAGAGAAGAACGAGUGUGAGAGUGGAAAGUUCACACUGUGACGGUAUCUUACCAGAAAGGGACGGCUAACUACGUGCCAGCAGCCGCGGUAAUACGUAGGUCCCGAGCGUUGUCCGGAUUUAUUGGGCGUAAAGCGAGCGCAGGCGGUUAGAUAAGUCUGAAGUUAAAGGCUGUGGCUUAACCAUAGUACGCUUUGGAAACUGUUUAACUUGAGUGCAAGAGGGGAGAGUGGAAUUCCAUGUGUAGCGGUGAAAUGCGUAGAUAUAUGGAGGAACACCGGUGGCGAAAGCGGCUCUCUGGCUUGUAACUGACGCUGAGGC
This 698-nucleotide ribosomal RNA is filed under the name uncultured Bacilli bacterium. RNAcentral describes it as "bacterial SSU rRNA". It matches the Rfam family "Bacterial small subunit ribosomal RNA", at positions 67 to 752 of the family's 1533-position model. Lineage: Bacteria; Bacillati; Bacillota; Bacilli. The record is from RNAcentral.